This 427-nucleotide ribosomal RNA is filed under the name Pseudomonas sp. R-29016. Its description in RNAcentral is "bacterial SSU rRNA". It matches the Rfam family "Bacterial small subunit ribosomal RNA", at positions 30 to 457 of the family's 1533-position model. Lineage: Bacteria; Pseudomonadati; Pseudomonadota; Gammaproteobacteria; Pseudomonadales; Pseudomonadaceae. The record is from RNAcentral.
AUUGAACGCUGGCGGCAGGCCUAACACAUGCAAGUCGAGCGGUAGAGAGAAGCUUGCUUCUCUUGAGAGCGGCGGACGGGUGAGUAAUGCCUAGGAAUCUGCCUGGUAGUGGGGGAUAACGUUCGGAAACGGACGCUAAUACCGCAUACGUCCUACGGGAGAAAGCAGGGGACCUUCGGGCCUUGCGCUAUCAGAUGAGCCUAGGUCGGAUUAGCUAGUUGGUGAGGUAAUGGCUCACCAAGGCGACGAUCCGUAACUGGUCUGAGAGGAUGAUCAGUCACACUGGAACUGAGACACGGUCCAGACUCCUACGGGAGGCAGCAGUGGGGAAUAUUGGACAAUGGGCGAAAGCCUGAUCCAGCCAUGCCGCGUGUGUGAAGAAGGUCUUCGGAUUGUAAAGCACUUUAAGUUGGGAGGAAGGGCAGUU